CCUACGGGUGGCUGCAGUGGGGAAUAUUGCACAAUGGGCGCAAGCCUGAUGCAGCCAUGCCGCGUGUGUGAAGAAGGCCUUCGGGUUGUAAAGCACUUUCAGCGGGGAGGAAGGCGUUAAGGUUAAUAACCUUGGCGAUUGACGUUACCCGCAGAAGAAGCACCGGCUAACUCCGUGCCAGCAGCCGCGGUAAUACGGAGGGUGCAAGCGUUAAUCGGAAUUACUGGGCGUAAAGCGCACGCAGGCGGUCUGUCAAGUCGGAUGUGAAAUCCCCGGGCUCAACCUGGGAACUGCAUUCGAAGCUGGCAGGCUAGAGUCUUGUAGAGGGGGGUAGAAGUCCAGGUGUAGCGGGGAAAUGCGUAGAGAUCUGGAGGAAUACCGGUGGCGAAGGCGGCCCCCUGGACAAAGACUGACGCUCAGGUGCGAAAGCGUGGGGAGCAAACAGGAUUAGAUACCCUUGUAGUC
Molecule: ribosomal RNA, 465 nt
Filed under: uncultured Klebsiella sp.
Lineage: Bacteria; Pseudomonadati; Pseudomonadota; Gammaproteobacteria; Enterobacterales; Enterobacteriaceae
Description: bacterial SSU rRNA
Rfam family: Bacterial small subunit ribosomal RNA
Source: RNAcentral